Elaeis guineensis (African oil palm) is the source of this 868-nucleotide non-coding RNA. The record is from RefSeq and is a predicted model, not a curated record. Lineage: Eukaryota; Viridiplantae; Streptophyta; Magnoliopsida; Arecales; Arecaceae.
CUCAUAGGCGCGAAAUAAAGAUCACAGUCUGCUCCGCGGAGCACCGUAACCAUCGUUCUGGCUCCAAGGCCGCCUCCCCUCCAAUCGACGCCGUCUUCGCGUCCUUGAGGCGAACCGGAUCGGAGAGAAAGAGGGUGGGAAACGCCGGUCGACGAUGACGGAGGCUGUGGUUAGGAAGAAGCCAGGGAUGGUGAGCGUGAAGGAGAUGCCAGUGCUCCAGGACGGUCCGCCGCCGGGGGGUUUUCCGCCGGUGAGGUACGCGCGACGGAUCCCGAAUAAAGGCCCAAGCGCAGUCGCCAUCUUUCUCACCGCCUUCGGCGCUUUCUCUUGGGGCAUGUACCAGGUCGGCAAGGGCAACAAGAUCCGUCGUGAGCUCAAGGAAGAGAAGUAUGCUGCUCGCAGAGCAAUACUUCCCAUGCUUCAAGCAGAAGAAGAUGAAAGAUUUGUGAAAGAAUGGAAGAAAUAUCUGGAAGAGGAGGCCAGAAUUAUGAAAGAUGUGCCUGGGUGGAAGGUCGGCGAGAGUGUGUACCACUCUGGGAAAUGGGUGCCCCCCGCAACUGGUGAGCUCCGACCAGAUGUGUGGUGAGAGGGUAGAGAACUCUCGAUUUCAGCUGGAUCAUCCAAAACUGAGUUCUAUAAUCCCCGACUGUGAUUCCGUCACUUGUGCAACAGAAAAUUCUCAGACCAUGCACUGUAAAAAACCUUCUAUUUAUCCUUCUUGCUUGGACAGAUGGAAGGGUUUGUCCGGUUAAUAAUCCUUAUCUCAGAAUGACCUAUUUCACUUUCUAAGGGAAUGCCAGGGAUUGCUAAAGGUGAAGCUAAAUUCUUGGUUUGCAUGCAUGAAUGCAAUGGGAUUUUGUGUUUUUGA